UCAUCAUUAUUUGGAGUGUCUU
RNAcentral lists this non-coding RNA (22 nucleotides) under Arabidopsis thaliana (thale cress). The record is from RNAcentral. Lineage: Eukaryota; Viridiplantae; Streptophyta; Magnoliopsida; Brassicales; Brassicaceae.